Molecule: RNA transcript, 898 nt
Organism: Cebus imitator (Panamanian white-faced capuchin)
Lineage: Eukaryota; Metazoa; Chordata; Mammalia; Primates; Cebidae
Gene name: cyclin-dependent kinase 2-associated protein 1-like
Exons: 1
Source: RefSeq, a predicted model, not a curated record
ACCCGCCGCCAGGGGUGAUGUCUUACAAACCGAACUUGGCCGCGCACAGGCCCGCCGCCGCCCUCCACGCCGCUGGGAGUGUCCACUCGCCGCCCACCAGCGUGGCCACGUCUUCACAGUACCGCCAGCUGCUCAGUGACCACGGGCCACCGUCCCCAGGCGACACCCAGGGACCUGGGAAUAGCAGGUGCCCCAAAGCAAACGCGCGAGCUGCUGGCCAUCACUGAAGAGCUGGGGAAGGGGGUCAGGCCCACGUCCGCGGGCAGCAAGAGCGCCAUGGAGAGGCUGAAGCCUGCAUCAUUCACGCUGGAGGCCUGGCUCGGAAGGGCUCGGCAGAAACGGAACGGAAUGCCAGAUACUAGCUUCCCUGUUGGUUUUGAAGGAUUCCCGUCUUUUUACAGGAUGAGAAGUUACAGUUCAUCUCCCCUGUUCAGAUGAAACCCUUGUUUUCAAAAUGGUUACAGUUCAGUUUUUCCUCCCAUGGUUCACUUGGCUCUGAACCUACAGUCUCAAAGAUUGAGAAAAGAUUUUGCAGUGAAUUAGGAUUUGCAAUUUAAGUAGUUAGGAACUGCCCAGGUUUUUUUGGUUUGUUUUUUGUUUUUAAGCAUUGAUUUAAAAGAUGCUCCUAAAGUUAUCUUACAGCAAACUAGUUUGCCUCCAAGACACCAUUGUCUCCCUUUAAUCUUCUCUUUUGAAUACAUUUGUUACUCACAGUGUUCUUUGUUCCUUUUCAUAAGCUAAUACCACUCUAGGGAUUUUGUUUUUAAUGCAUAUUGACAGCACGCUUUACUUAGUAGCGGUUCCCAUUUGCCAUACAGUGUAGAUUCUGCUGAAUGUAACUUCUUUUUUGCUUAAGCAUUUGCAUGACUAUUAGUGCUUCAAAGUCAGUUUUUAAAAA